RNAcentral lists this ribosomal RNA (414 nucleotides) under uncultured microorganism. Its description in RNAcentral is "bacterial SSU rRNA". It matches the Rfam family "Archaeal small subunit ribosomal RNA", at positions 459 to 872 of the family's 1478-position model. The record is from RNAcentral.
CAGCAGCCGCGGUAAUACCGGCGGCCCGAGUGGCGGUCACUAUUAUUGGGCUUAAAGCGUCCGUAGCCGGGGUGGGAAGUCCUCCGGGAAAUCUGGCCGCUUAACGGUCAGAAUGCCGGAGGAUACUCCCAGCCUAGGGAGCGGGAGAGGCCGAGGGGAUUCCCGGAGUAGGGGGGAAAUCCUAUAAUCCCGGGAGGACCACCUGUGGCGAAGGCGCUCGGCUGGGACGCGUCCGACGGUGAGGGACGAAGGCCAGGGGAGCAAACCGGAUUAGAUACCCGGGUAGUCCUGGCUGUAAACGAUGCGGACUUUGUGUCGGACAAGCUAUGAGCUUGUCCGGUGCCGGAGGGAAACCGUUAAGUCCGCCGCCUGGGGAGUACGGCCGCAAGGCUGAAACUUAAAGGAAUUGGCGGG